GACGAACGCUGGCGGCGUGCUUAACACAUGCAAGUCGAACGGAAAGGCCCUGCUUUUGUGGGGUGCUCGAGUGGCGAACGGGUGAGUAACACGUGAGUAACCUGCCCUUGACUUUGGGAUAACUUCAGGAAACUGGGGCUAAUACCGGAUAGGAGCUCCUGCUGCAUGGUGGGGGUUGGAAAGUUUCGGCGGUUGGGGAUGGACUCGCGGCUUAUCAGCUUGUUGGUGGGGUAGUGGCUUACCAAGGCUUUGACGGGUAGCCGGCCUGAGAGGGUGACCGGCCACAUUGGGACUGAGAUACGGCCCAGACUCCUACGGGAGGCAGCAGUGGGGAAUAUUGCACAAUGGGCGGAAGCCUGAUGCAGCAACGCCGCGUGCGGGAUGACGGCCUUCGGGUUGUAAACCGCUUUCGCCUGUGACGAAGCGUGAGUGACGGUAAUGGGUAAAGAAGCACCGGCUAACUACGUGCCAGCAGCCGCGGUGAUACGUAGGGUGCGAGCGUUGUCCGGAUUUAUUGGGCGUAAAGGGCUCGUAGGUGGUUGAUCGCGUCGGAAGUGUAAUCUUGGGGCUUAACCCUGAGCGUGCUUUCGAUACGGGUUGACUUGAGGAAGGUAGGGGAGAAUGGAAUUCCUGGUGGAGCGGUGGAAUGCGCAGAUAUCAGGAGGAACACCAGUGGCGAAGGCGGUUUCUCUGGGCCUUUCCUGACGCUGAGGAGCGAAAGCGUGGGGAGCGAACAGGCUUAGAUACCCUGGUAGUCCACGCUGUAAACGGUGGGUACUAGGUGUGGGGUCCAUUCCACGGGUUCCGUGCCGUAGCUAACGCUUUAAGUACCCCGCCUGGGGAGUACGGCCGCAAGGCUAAAACUCAAAGGAAUUGACGGGGCCCCGCACAAGCGGCGGAGCAUGCGGAUUAAUUCGAUGCAACGCGUAGAACCUUACCUGGGUUUGACAUGGAUCGGGAGUGCUCAGAGAUGGGUGUGCCUCUUUUGGGGUCGGUUCACAGGUGGUGCAUGGCUGUCGUCAGCUCGUGUCGUGAGAUGUUGGGUUAAGUCCCGCAACGAGCGCAACCCUUGUUCACUGUUGCCAGCACGUUAUGGUGGGGACUCAGUGGAGACCGCCGGGGUCAACUCGGAGGAAGGUGGGGAUGACGUCAAGUCAUCAUGCCCCUUAUGUCCAGGGCUUCACGCAUGCUACAAUGGCUGGUACAGAGAGUGGCGAGCCUGUGAGGGUGAGCGAAUCUCGGAAAGCCGGUCUCAGUUCGGAUUGGGGUCUGCAACUCGACCUCAUGAAGUCGGAGUCGCUAGUAAUCGCAGAUCAGCAACGCUGCGGUGAAUACGUUCCCGGGGCU
This 1347-nucleotide ribosomal RNA is filed under the name uncultured bacterium. RNAcentral describes it as "partial 16S ribosomal RNA". It matches the Rfam family "Bacterial small subunit ribosomal RNA", at positions 28 to 1381 of the family's 1533-position model. The record is from RNAcentral.